CUGCGGCGUGCUUACCUGCAGUCAGGGGGAAAGGGGUGGCAAUAUCCCGAGUAUACCGGCGCACGGGUGAGUAACACGUAGGCAAUCUGCCUUUAGGACGGGGACAACUCAGCGAAAGCUGAGCUAAUACCCGAUAAUGCAGCGGCACCGCAUGGUGAUGUUGUUAACGGCCGAAAGGCGCCUAAAGAUGAGCCUGCGUCCCAUUAGGUAGUUGGCGGGGUAACGGCCCACCAAGCCCGCGAUGGGUAGCUGGUCUGAGAGGAUGAUCAGCCACGCUGGAACUGAGACACGGUCCAGACUCCUACGGGAGGCAGCAGUGAGGAAUAUUGCGCAAUGGCCGAAAGGCUGACGCAGCGACGCCGCGUGGAGGAUGAAGUCCGUUAGGAUGUAAACUCCUUUUGCAGGGGAUGAAUGUGCCCUUUCAGGGCCUUGACCGUACCCUGCGAAUAAGGAUCGGCUAACUACGUGCCAGCAGCCGCGGUAAUACGUAGGAUCCGAGCGUUGUCCGGAAUUACUGGGUGUAAAGGGCGUGUAGGUGGGCUCCUAAGUCGGGGGUGAAAUCCCGUAGCUUAACUGCGGAAUUGCUUCCGAUACUGGGGGUCUUGAGUACGGCAGAGGGAGAUAGAAUUCAUGGUGUAGCGGUGAAAUGUGUAGAUAUCAUGAAGAAUACCGGUAGCGAAGGCGGUCUCCUGGUCCGUUACUGACACUGAGGCGCGAAAGCGUGGGGAGCAAACAGGAUUAGAUACCCUGGUAGUCCACGCCUUAAACGAUGGGUACUCGGU
RNAcentral lists this ribosomal RNA (782 nucleotides) under uncultured bacterium. Its description in RNAcentral is "bacterial SSU rRNA". It matches the Rfam family "Bacterial small subunit ribosomal RNA", at positions 36 to 821 of the family's 1533-position model. The record is from RNAcentral.